RNAcentral lists this unclassified non-coding RNA (379 nucleotides) under Hevea brasiliensis (rubber tree). Lineage: Eukaryota; Viridiplantae; Streptophyta; Magnoliopsida; Malpighiales; Euphorbiaceae. The record is from RNAcentral.
UCUGCUGGUGCUGUGAACAAGGGGAUCUUACUUGAACCAGUUUUGCUAUACCUUAGUAGGGCUUUAUCAUAUAUAUUGCUGUUGGCAGCCAAAGACCAAAUGACUGUCAAACAGGCAUCAGACAUAUUUAUCAUCAAGACACUAAUAGCCUAUCAGUCAAUUUCAGAUCCAACCAUAUAUCGAAGAGACCAUGCCCGUCUUAUUCAGAUAUGUGGAACUCCUUAUAGGUGAAUGUUUGAUUCAGCUCAUCAGCUGUGACACAGCUAUGUACUUCCUUGGUGGGGUCAUUCCAUUUCUUUUCUACAAGGGCAUGUAUGUUCCCCUUUUCUUUUAUUUCUUUUGAAGAGCUACUUCAUUAUUUUUUUCUUUUUGGGACAGG